GGUCCUGACUAGCUCAACUGGUAGAGCAUGGCAUUAAAGUUGCCAGUGUUAGGGGUUUGAUUCCCACUAGGAUCA
RNAcentral lists this transfer RNA (75 nucleotides) under Merluccius polli (Benguela hake). Its description in RNAcentral is "tRNA-Phe". The record is from RNAcentral. Lineage: Eukaryota; Metazoa; Chordata; Actinopteri; Gadiformes; Merlucciidae.